Molecule: long non-coding RNA, 1447 nt
Filed under: Macaca fascicularis (crab-eating macaque)
Lineage: Eukaryota; Metazoa; Chordata; Mammalia; Primates; Cercopithecidae
Description: lncRNA (ENSMFAG00000062408.1)
Source: RNAcentral
UGUACGCAAGAAGGAAGGAGGAAAGGGAGGGAGGGAAGAUAAAAGGGGCUCCUAGACUUCAUAAAUCAUGUUCAUACUUCCAUUUAAUGUAAUAAUGGUCAGAUGGGUAGCCCUGCAUUUCUCCCUAUGUGCAAAAGUAGGGGAGCUGUACAUCAUCAUUGACUGUUGACCACUGCAAGAUCUAAUUUCAGGCACAUUUAAAAUACUGGCCUUCUUUAAAAAUAUCAUUAUUCCCCAAAUGUAUAAAAACAAACUUACUACACUGUCUGAAGGAUAUGUUAUUAUUUCAAAUCAUUGUUCUGCUUUAGAUAAAUCCAAUGUAUUACAGUGUGCAAUUUUUUGUGUUACAUCUGAAAUACUUUUUGUAGUUUUAUUGGUUCCUGAAGAAAAAUAUAACUCUUCUCUCACUAACUAUAAGAACAUAUUAUACCUUAAUUAAAACAACUUAUUGUUCAUAUUUUGGCAGGAAACUCCUCUCAAGAAAUCCUAAAACUAAGAAGUUUUCAUCCGGUGAUCAAUUCCAAAGACUCUGUGAUGCUUUCUUUGUGCUGUUGAUAUUAAUUUCCCAGAGAUUUUUAAGUUUCUUUGUCCUAAAAACUCAUCAAGAUUUGAGCAUGCUUAAACAAAAGGGAGCACCCACACACAUGAAAGCAUCUUUUAACAUUGCCAGUGAGCAGACGGAUGUAGAAAGAAUUAACAGCAGAAAAGAACAGAAGGACUCUGAAUUCAAAGACUUAAACCAGCAGGUACGGACAGAUUCAUGGUUUACCAAGCCUAGACCAGUAUUUUGGAACAGCAGGUAGAGAGAUGACAUGAUUCAGAAGAAGCUUGAAGCAGAAGAGGACAUUUUUAUUUUAAAUAAAUGGUAAUAUUAAAAGGGUAAUAUCCUUGAAUUAAUGAUGGACACGUACUAAAUUAACUUAUUUAGGAGAAUUAACUUGCAUUUUUUUUAGUCUCCAUUUUGUUUAUAUUUUCCUCAUUCUUAGAAGCAUGAAAAUCCAAUUCUUUUUUACCCUGCUGAUUUUUUGACAUUUUCCAUUUGGCAAAAAGGAAUUUCUCUCCCUCUCUGGUGUUUCUAAUGGACCUGAAACCCAUGUGAUUAACAUGGCUUCCUUCCUCACGCUAGGCUUGGCAUCAAUAUCACUUUCAGAAUUAAUAUGUGUAUCUCCUGAGAGCAAGCACUAAUUUCUAGGAGUUCUAGCUAAAAAGCUAUUAUAAAUGGCUACUGUUACUGGGCAUGAGAGCUAAGUGGAAAAGAAAAUAUUUUGGGUGCUUGAAUCUUUGCUUUUAAAUUAUUCAGAAAAAAUUAAACUUAUGUUAUUGGAAUACCAAGAUCAAGUUAUGGACUUCUUCCUCUUCAGGGGGCAAUACUUCUCCUGACUGAGUACAAAUGAGCAAUAUUUCAAGCUUUCUAAUCUGCUACAUAUUAGAAUCACCAGGGGAACUU